Molecule: transfer RNA, 71 nt
Filed under: Retropinna retropinna (cucumberfish)
Lineage: Eukaryota; Metazoa; Chordata; Actinopteri; Osmeriformes; Retropinnidae
Description: tRNA-Gln
Rfam family: tRNA
About the family: Transfer RNA (tRNA) molecules are approximately 80 nucleotides in length. Their secondary structure includes four short double-helical elements and three loops (D, anti-codon, and T loops).
Source: RNAcentral
UAGGAAGUGGUGUAGCGGAAGCACCAAGAGUUUUGAUCUCUUGAGGAUGGGUUCAAACCCCUUCUUCCUAA